AUGAAGAAGAUGAAGAAGAUGAAGGAGAUAGUGUUUGAUAUGAAGGAGAUAGAGAUGGAUAUGAAGGAGAUAGAGAUGGAGGUGAAGGAGAUGAAGGAGAUGAACGAGAUAAAGAGGGCUACGCAGAAGCAGGCUGGGGCUGUAACAUGGGUCUAUUGGGACAUCAAGAUGUGCCCGGUUCCGGAUGGCUUUCAUCCUCGUCUUGUCCGUCCGAGUAUUAAGCGGUUAUUGGAGAAGAAUGGCUACGGUGGUGGUCCUCUCAACGUCAUUGCCUAUGGAAAACUAGCGGACGUCCCUCUUGAAACCCUGAGAGAGGUCUUUUCCAGUGGAAUCGAUCUUAAACUUCUCCCCCACGGUAACCUUUCAGGUUACAUUGAUUUGUCAUAUCCAGCUAAUAUUAUGGUCAUAUCCGAUCCAAAAGCCUGCCCUUAUUCAACUUCCGGUCUACAAGCACUCGGCAAAAACCCUAUCCAGCCAUUUCCAUAUCAUUCUCUUUCCACCUUACUUAUGAAACUUCCGGUCUACAAGCACAUCAUGAACUGCUGAUUAGGAGGUCUCCUGCUCCACGUGUUGUUACUCCCAUGAAACAUGUAAAUCCUUCCUUUAUUGCAAGAGGAGGUUUGGGACCUGUGACAAUGGUCUAUUGGGACAUCAAUUCGUGUCCGGUUCCCCCUGGCUGUGAUGCUAGUCUGGUCGGUCCGUGCAUCAAGCGGUUCUUGAAGAAAGAAGGCUGCUCUGGUCCUCUCUCCAUCACUGCCAUUGGAAGACUAACAGAAGUCCCUAAUGACAUUCUGGAAGGAGUCUAUUCCAGUGGAAUCGCUCUUAAUAACAUUUUCUACGGGUUUUUUGACACUUUGCAUGGUCUUCUUUCUGGGUUUAUGGAUAGCAAUCCACCUCCAGCUAAUUUUAUGGUCAUAUCCGAUGCAAAAUCCUUGGGCACACCCUUCCCUUCUAUGAUUGCUUCUGGGCUAAAAUCGAGGGGAUACAACGUUCUUCAGCCGGUUCCAUGGGAUUCUCUUAGCUUGUUUUCUCUUGAGGAUGAUAAGUGCGUUGAUGAAACGAGUGAGUCUGCCUUCUGGAUUUGCUCAAUAUGCGACAAGGAUCUACCUUACCAAGGCUUUGAAAAUUUCAACACUCAUGUUACUAGUAGGCGACAUAAACGCGAGUUGUUGGACUAUUUGCCUGCGGAUCAUCGUUUUACUAGACGUGAAGAAAAAGAAGAAGAAGAAUAAAGCAACACUCGUAUGAUUUGAAGGCCCAUGGUGUGGGUUUAACUAGUAUGAUUAUUUUAAAUCUGAAUUUGACCUUAAAACGAAAACGAAACUCGACCGGUUUGAUUGUAUGUGUAGUAUAAACUGCAGUCUUUUUAUCUUUUUUGGAUAUAUUUUGAAGGAAAAAAGAUGGCUAGCUACACGAAGUAUUGGUGAAUACAUGGUCACACAUGCCAAGUAUACUAUUGUAUAUUCAAUUACACAAAGUAUAUGUAUUACAUGACCACAUGCAUGAACUAUAUGACGUUAUGUGGUCAACAUCAUAGACAUAUAAUCCAGUACACCGGUCAAUUGAUUCCGGCAAAGACCGGCGUUGACUCCA
Non-coding RNA from Camelina sativa (false flax), 1593 nucleotides. Lineage: Eukaryota; Viridiplantae; Streptophyta; Magnoliopsida; Brassicales; Brassicaceae. The record is from RefSeq and is a predicted model, not a curated record.